This 370-nucleotide ribosomal RNA is filed under the name uncultured bacterium. RNAcentral describes it as "bacterial SSU rRNA". It matches the Rfam family "Bacterial small subunit ribosomal RNA", at positions 30 to 403 of the family's 1533-position model. The record is from RNAcentral.
AUUGAACGCUGGCGGAAUGCUUUACACAUGCAAGUCGAACGGUAGAGGGGGCAACCCCUUGAGAGUGGCGAACGGGUGAGUAAUAUAUCGGAACGUGCCCAGUCGUGGGGAUAACGUAGCGAAAGUUACGCUAAUACCGGCAUACGAUCUAAGGAUGAAAGCGGGGGAUCGCAAGACCUCGCGCGAUUGGAGCGGCCGAUAUCAGAUUAGGUAGUUGGUGAGGUAAAGGCUCACCAAGCCGACGAUCUGUAGCUGGUCUGAGAGGACGACCAGCCACACUGGGACUGAGACACGGCCCAGACUCCUACGGGAGGCAGCACGUGGGGAAUUUUGGACAAUGGGCGCAAGCCUGAUCCAGCAAUGCCGCGUG